RNAcentral lists this unclassified non-coding RNA (222 nucleotides) under Moritella viscosa. RNAcentral's name for it is "putative sRNA". Lineage: Bacteria; Pseudomonadati; Pseudomonadota; Gammaproteobacteria; Alteromonadales; Moritellaceae. The record is from RNAcentral.
UUCAAACGAAAAAAAGCACAACACUUUUGAAGGAUACCCUACAAGCCUCACUCCGGCACUUGAGUUCUCUGCUGCGGUUGCUUCCUUCCGGACCUGGCCGAGUUCACAGAGUAUCAAUGCGGAGGGACCCAUAAGGCACCCAUCAAACGUGUUGUGCUUGACAACGAGUGAAUUAUUAACUAUUCACUGAUUCUUUGCAACCGUUUAUAGCAGUUUUAUUCU